RNAcentral lists this transfer RNA (82 nucleotides) under Collybia nuda. RNAcentral's name for it is "Lepista nuda tRNA-Phe". The record is from RNAcentral. Lineage: Eukaryota; Fungi; Basidiomycota; Agaricomycetes; Agaricales; Clitocybaceae.
GGGGGCAUAGCUCAGUUGGGAGAGCAGCAGACUGAAGUCAACUGAAUUCUGAAGGUCCCGCGUUCAAUCCGCGGUGCCCCCA